GCCAAGGCUGGCAGUAAUGGAGCGAAGCCACGGAGAGAUGACACCGGGCUGGGAUAAAAAGCAAGGCACCUGGAGACCAAUUAAAAAAUGACAUCUAAAGCCUGCUAUCAAUUUGGACUCUGCACAAGCUCCAGCAGGGCUGACCUCGACCAAGGACGACGGCGGCGAAGAUGGCAGCAAGAAAAGCUCGCCGAGGAGGAGAAGAGGAGGAGAUUACUAACAGAGCGCCGACACGAGCACUUGACUGAGGAGAGCGGAGGAAAAGAUGUUCAACAGGGGACUGCCGUCAGGGCACGCAUCCGUCCCAUGGCAGCACAUCUGCACAGCGGGCGGUAACGCAGGAAGCAGAGGCGGAGGACUGAGACAGGUGGGGACAGAUGGGUUCAGAAGAUGUAGCAGGAAGCAUCUGAAUCCCAAAUGACACUUCGGAAAAAAAUUUCAAAGCCACAGAAACAGCCUGAAUGUCGAGCUUGUGAAAAAAAAAAAAAAAAAA
Long non-coding RNA from Fundulus heteroclitus (mummichog), 493 nucleotides. RefSeq lists it as uncharacterized. The transcript is spliced from 2 exons. The record is from RefSeq and is a predicted model, not a curated record. NCBI's taxonomy places the organism in Eukaryota, Metazoa, Chordata, Actinopteri, Cyprinodontiformes, Fundulidae.